Molecule: unclassified non-coding RNA, 409 nt
Filed under: uncultured Glomeromycotina
Lineage: Eukaryota; Fungi; Glomeromycota
Description: sequence contains 28S rRNA gene
Source: RNAcentral
AGAGUUAAACAGUACGUGAAAUUGUUGAAAGGGAAACGAUUAAAGUCAGUCGUACUGACGGGAAAUCAGCCUAUUCGAGUGCGGAUCAGUGGGAUCAAAGUGACUUUGUUCUUGCGACAUCUGCAAUCCUUUGGUGUACUUUCUCGUGUUGUAGGUUAGCAUCGGUUUUGAACAUCAUAAAAUGAUUGGAGAAAUGUAGCUUCGACUUCGGUUGAAGUGUUAUAGACUCUGGUAGAUGUAAUGGUCGAGACCGAGGAUUGCAACGAAUACCCUGUCCCACAAGGGCUAUCUGCCUGGCCACUGAUUGUCACUUUCGCAUCGAAAGCUUGCUUACGAUGUUAAAGUGUGCGGUCAAUAGGUUAGAACGGAUUAAAUUCGUUAAGGAUGCUGACGUAAUGGCUUUAAACGA